This 253-nucleotide ribosomal RNA is filed under the name uncultured bacterium. RNAcentral describes it as "partial 16S ribosomal RNA". It matches the Rfam family "Bacterial small subunit ribosomal RNA", at positions 524 to 776 of the family's 1533-position model. The record is from RNAcentral.
UACGUAGGUGGCAAGCGUUGUCCGGAAUUAUUGGGUGUAAAGCGCGCGCAGGCGGCCUCUUAAGUCUGAUGUGAAAGCCCCCGGCUCAACCGGGGAGGGCCAUUGGAAACUGGGAGGCUUGAGUAUAGGAGAGAAGAGUGGAAUUCCACGUGUAGCGGUGAAAUGCGUAGAGAUGUGGAGGAACACCAGUGGCGAAGGCGACUCUUUGGCCUAUAACUGACGCUGAGGCGCGAAAGCGUGGGGAGCAAACAGG